ACAGACCUGCCGUCGGACGGCUCGCACCUGUCGACCUGCGACCCCGUGCCUCUCAAGGUCGCGAUUCAAGGUCCCGAAGGUUGUCUCUUCAGGUUACGACUUGUCCGCUCAUAGACCCUGGUGGACCGGUCUCCUUGUUACGCCGCCAGCCUCGCGCGAGCAGUUUGCGACUCCCUGUACCUAACCUGGCGGAUGACGGAGGGACACGGAUUUUGGACUUUUUCCGUGGGUCAUUGGGAGUCAUGAACAGCUGUUAGCCACGAGGAUGAAAUGGCUGCGACGAUGUGUUUCGAACCUCGGCACUUCCUCCUCGGAGUCGGAAGGGACCUCGCUUCCAUUCCGCCAACAGUGCUCAGCGGAGCACGGGGCCGUAAAAAGUAAAUUAAAUAAGAGUUAAAUAGAAAUAAAAGCAUUCGGCCAAGUAAUUGGUUGGCUUGCUGAUGGGCAUCUGGGCCUCUUCGCUGCGGCAACCCUCGCGGUGAUCCGCGAACCACUCUACCGACACCCCUUAAAUCCGAGGGGCGAAUCAAUCCACUCCGACGGUUUCCGCCGUCUGCCGAAGUAAUUCCUAGAGAUAUGCUAUUUUCUCGGGAUAUGGUUCAGAAACGUGUACCCUGUUAACGGUAAGAAAAACUGACAUAAUAUAUAACUUUGAAUAUUGUUAUAAAUUUACAAUGUAUAAACAAAACCCAUUGUUAUUAAGGAGCGGCACAAUAAUAAAAUCGCAUCGAGUAUCACCGGAAAAA
Molecule: long non-coding RNA, 746 nt
Organism: Orussus abietinus
Lineage: Eukaryota; Metazoa; Arthropoda; Insecta; Hymenoptera; Orussidae
Exons: 2
Source: RefSeq, a predicted model, not a curated record